Molecule: ribosomal RNA, 514 nt
Filed under: uncultured bacterium
Lineage: Bacteria
Description: bacterial SSU rRNA
Rfam family: Bacterial small subunit ribosomal RNA
Source: RNAcentral
AGAGUUUGAUCCUGGCUCAGGAUGAACGGCGGCGGCGUGCCUAACACAUGCAAGUCGAGCGAGAUGCUUCUGACGGAUUCUCCGGAUGACGGAUGAAGCGGAAAGCGGCGGACGGGUGAGUAACGCGUAGGCAACCUGCCUCUCACAGAGGGAUAGCCACUGGAAACGGUGAUUAAAACCUCAUAACGCCACUAAGAGACAUCUCCUGGUGGCCAAAGAUUUAUCGGUGAGAGAUGGGCCUGCGUCUGAUUAGCUAGUUGGCGGGGUAACGGCCCACCAAGGCGACGAUCAGUAGCCGACCUGAGAGGGUGAUCGGCCACAUUGGAACUGAGACACGGUCCAAACUCCUACGGGAGGCAGCAGUGGGGAAUAUUGCACAAUGGGCGAAAGCCUGAUGCAGCAACGCCGCGUGAAGGAUGAAGGCCUUCGGGUCGUAAACUUCUGUCCUUGGGGAAGAAGAACUGACGGUACCCUUGGAGGAAGCCCCGGCUAACUACGUGCCAGCAGCCGCGGU